RNAcentral lists this transfer RNA (76 nucleotides) under Acetobacteraceae bacterium. RNAcentral describes it as "tRNA-Glu". It matches the Rfam family "tRNA". Rfam says of the family: Transfer RNA (tRNA) molecules are approximately 80 nucleotides in length. The record is from RNAcentral. RNAcentral also lists the same sequence under 1 other name. Lineage: Bacteria; Pseudomonadati; Pseudomonadota; Alphaproteobacteria; Acetobacterales; Acetobacteraceae.
GUCUCGUUCGUCUAGAGGCCUAGGACACCGCCCUUUCACGGCGGCAACACGGGUUCGAAUCCCGUACGAGACGCCA